This is a long non-coding RNA of Microtus oregoni (creeping vole), 1537 nucleotides long. RefSeq lists it as uncharacterized. NCBI's taxonomy places the organism in Eukaryota, Metazoa, Chordata, Mammalia, Rodentia, Cricetidae. The transcript is spliced from 5 exons. The record is from RefSeq and is a predicted model, not a curated record.
CCGGUCGCGAUGUUCCACGCGGACUCGCCGGGGCCGUGGUCCUCCGCAGUGCAACUUCCGGCCACCCUGCCCUGUGGAGCUCCCGCGAGACCUCGCUCUGGGGUAAACUCGGUUCCGCCCGAGUGCUUGGCUGGAGGACCGGAAGAGCGGCCUUUGGAUGCGCGGGCCUCCAAUCCUGUCUCCCGUAGGCGCCGCGCUCGACCAUCUAGCCAAUCGCAGGCCACAUCGUGUCGCAGCAGCCAAUCGGAGAGGCCCGGAGCCUCUCAGACGUGCGGUGGGCCAUGCUUCUCCCUGCUCCGAAGUUCUUUUGUUAGACCUCUGUGGUUCCUGUGGCGUGUUCGCUUGCUCCGUGCAAUCCGGCGCCAUCGCGUUUUCGCCGAGCGCUGUAAUGGAUAGUAGAGAGGCGGGAAUAGACCCGACGCCGAGCUGGCUUUGGCUAUGGUGGUGCGCGCUCCGGAGGACCGAUUGGAGAACGACACCAGGAGACAGCUCACUGAUUCGGAGGUGACACAGGAGCUUUUGGUGUGACUUGGCUCAAUGCAUGUGAUGCCACAGGAGCUUGAUCGAGGAUGUCCCGGAAUCUUAAUUUAGCGAAUCUUUUUCUGAAGACGUUUUGCCUCGAUGAGUUAGUUCAUGAAAGAAGGGAUCGUGUUAAGGGUGGUGUCUGGAAGAGAUGUGUGGCGUUGGAAGGUGAUAUGAAAUACACAGGAAAGGAAAGAAAAGGAUGUUUUGCUUAAGAGUGCCAUUUGCAAAUUUAUUCAAUAAUUUGAAGAUUUAUAUAAGGGCCUGUUCAGAAAGGGGCGUUUCUCCUGCUCUAAGAAAGUGCUCUUCACACAAGCCUGAUGGCCUGAACUAAUUCCUGGAGCCCACGAGGUGGAAGAGAGCGGACUCCUGAAAGUUAUCUUCAGAUCACAUAUACACAAUAAGAAAAUGUAAAUUUUAAAAAUCAAAAUAGUAAUCAGAACAUUAGAAUGCUGUUUUAGUGAAAUGUAAACAUGAUGCAAGUGAUUAUGGAACAUCUGGAUGCUUUGUAUAGUUUUGUACAAAACUUUACCCUUUUCCGAAAUGAGAAAGGAAUUAAAAUUGUCAAAGGAAUUGAACUCUGUAAAUUUUUUUCUUUUGCAAAGAAAGUUAUUUGUAAUGGUAUUUUGCAGUGCCCUCAGAUCAGAUAGAGCUGGAGUUGGAGUGGUGAGCUGCCUGGGGUGGGUGCUGUAAGCUGAACUCUCUGGAAGAGUGAGUACUGAGUCAUCUCCCCCACCCAACUUUUUGUGGCUAUGAAUGUGAAAUCUUUUGCAUUCUAGAGAAAAACCAGGAGUAAGAUGUGCCAUGUUGGAAUAUUAUGGCUGCCAAUCAAAAUGAAUUGUUGCUUCCCGAUAGAGGGCUAGUCACUAGUCAGAAGUGUCCUUGUUUAAACAUUUCAGAAGUUGUGCCAAAUGAGGGUAGCUGCAAUAAAAGCCAGCUUGUUCUUGCAGAUCCGAUUGUGCCGCUGUCUGGCCUGUGUUUCAUUUGUAGUAUACAAUAAACAUUGUUUUAACUG